GACAGAGGGUGCAACCGUUGCUCGGAAUCACUGGGCGUAAAGGGCGUGUAGGCGGGCAGGAAAGUCAGAUGUGAAAUCCCUGGGCUCAACCCAGGAACUGCAUUUGAAACUCCCUUUCUUGAGUGUCGGAGAGGAAAGCGGAAUUCCUGGUGUAGAGGUGAAAUUCGUAGAUAUCGGGAGGAACAUCUGUGGCGAAGGCGACUGCCUGGACCAGCACUGACACUGAGGCACGAAAGCGUGGGGAGCAAACAGG
Molecule: ribosomal RNA, 253 nt
Filed under: uncultured bacterium
Lineage: Bacteria
Description: partial 16S ribosomal RNA
Rfam family: Bacterial small subunit ribosomal RNA
Source: RNAcentral